UACGGAGGGUGCGAGCGUUGUCCGGAAUCACUGGGCGUAAAGGGCGCGUAGGUGGCACGGUAAGCGUGUGGUGAAAGCUCGGGGCUCAACCCCGAGUCGGCCAUGCGAACUGCUGCGCUUGAGCACUGUAGAGGCAGACGGAAUUCCGGGUGUAGCGGUGGAAUGCGUAGAGAUCCGGAAGAACACCGGUGGCGAAGGCGGUCUGCUGGGCAGUAGCUGACACUGAGGCGCGACAGCGUGGGGAGCAAACAGGAUUAGAAACCCGUUAGUCC
RNAcentral lists this ribosomal RNA (272 nucleotides) under uncultured prokaryote. Its description in RNAcentral is "partial 16S ribosomal RNA". It matches the Rfam family "Bacterial small subunit ribosomal RNA", at positions 524 to 796 of the family's 1533-position model. The record is from RNAcentral.